GUGGGGAAUAUUGGACAAUGGGGGAAACCCUGAUCCAGCCAUGCCGCGUGUGUGAAGAAGGCCUUCGGGUUGUAAAGCACUUUAAGCAGGGAGGAAAGGGUGUUGGCUAAUAUCCAGCAUCAUUGACGUUACCUGCAGAAUAAGCACCGGCUAACUUCGUGCCAGCAGCCGCGGUAAUACGAAGGGUGCAAGCGUUAAUCGGAAUUACUGGGCGUAAAGCGCGCGUAGGCGGUUUGGUAAGUGUGAUGUGAAAGCCCCGGGCUCAACCUGGGAAUUGCCUCACAUACUGCUAAGCUAGAGUACGGGAGAGGGGGGUAGAAUUCCACGUGUAGCGGUGAAAUGCGUAGAGAUGUGGAGGAAUACCGGUGGCGAAGGCGGCCCCCUGGAUCGAUACUGACGCUGAGGUGCGAAAGCAUGGGGAGCAAACAGGAUUAGAUACCCUAGUAGUCC
RNAcentral lists this ribosomal RNA (450 nucleotides) under uncultured bacterium. RNAcentral's name for it is "partial 16S ribosomal RNA". It matches the Rfam family "Bacterial small subunit ribosomal RNA", at positions 354 to 796 of the family's 1533-position model. The record is from RNAcentral.